UUUUAUUUGAGAGUUUGAUCCUGGCUCAGGAUGAACGCUGGCGGCGUGCCUAACACAUGCAAGUUGAGCGAUUUACUUCGGUAAAGAGCGGCGGACGGGUGAGUAACGCGUGGGUAACCUACCCUGUACACACGGAUAACAUACCGAAAGGUAUGCUAAUACGGGAUAAUAUAUUUGAGAGGCAUCUCUUGAAUAUCAAAGGUGAGCCAGUACAGGAUGGACCCGCGUCUGAUUAGCUAGUUGGUAAGGUAACGGCUUACCAAGGCGACGAUCAGUAGCCGACCUGAGAGGGUGAUCGGCCACAUUGGAACUGAGACACGGUCCAAACUCCUACGGGAGGCAGCAGUGGGGAAUAUUGCACAAUGGGCGAAAGCCUGAUGCAGCAACGCCGCGUGAGGGAUGAAGGCCUUCGGGUCGUAAAACUCUGUCCUCAAGGAAGAUAAUGACGGUACUUGAGGAGGAAGCCCCGGCUAACUACGUGCCAGCAGCCGCGGUAAUACGUAGGGGGCUAGCGUUAUCCGGAUU
Molecule: ribosomal RNA, 525 nt
Filed under: Clostridioides difficile
Lineage: Bacteria; Bacillati; Bacillota; Clostridia; Peptostreptococcales; Peptostreptococcaceae
Description: bacterial SSU rRNA
Rfam family: Bacterial small subunit ribosomal RNA
Source: RNAcentral